This 535-nucleotide ribosomal RNA is filed under the name uncultured bacterium. Its description in RNAcentral is "bacterial SSU rRNA". It matches the Rfam family "Bacterial small subunit ribosomal RNA", at positions 974 to 1509 of the family's 1533-position model. The record is from RNAcentral.
CCUGGCCUUGACAUACUAAGAACUUUCCAGAGAUGGAUUGGUGCCUUCGGGAACUUAGAUACAGGUGCUGCAUGGCUGUCGUCAGCUCGUGUCGUGAGAUGUUGGGUUAAGUCCGCAACGAGCGCAACCCUUUUCCUUAUUUGCCAGCGGGUCAUGCCGGGAACUUUAAGGAUACUGCCAGUGACAAACUGGAGGAAGGCGGGGACGACGUCAAGUCAUCAUGGCCCUUACGGCCAGGGCUACACACGUGCUACAAUGGUCGGUACAAAGGGUUGCUACCUCGCGAGAGGAUGCUAAUCUCAAAAAGCCGAUCGUAGUCCGGAUCGCAGUCUGCAACUCGACUGCGUGAAGUCGGAAUCGCUAGUAAUCGCGGAUCAGAAUGCCGCGGUGAAUACGUUCCCGGGCCUUGUACACACCGCCCGUCACACCAUGGGAGUUUGUUGUACCAGAAGUAGGUAGUCUAACCGCAAGGAGGACGCUUACCACGGUGUGGCCGAUGACUGGGGUGAAGUCGUAACAAGGUAGGCGUAGAUGA